GGGGCUAUAGCUAAGUGGUAGAGCACUUGCCUGGAAUGCGUGAGGCACUGGGUUUGAUUCUCAGUACCA
Molecule: transfer RNA, 69 nt
Filed under: Ictidomys tridecemlineatus (thirteen-lined ground squirrel)
Lineage: Eukaryota; Metazoa; Chordata; Mammalia; Rodentia; Sciuridae
Description: Spermophilus tridecemlineatus (thirteen-lined ground squirrel) tRNA
Rfam family: tRNA
About the family: Transfer RNA (tRNA) molecules are approximately 80 nucleotides in length. Their secondary structure includes four short double-helical elements and three loops (D, anti-codon, and T loops).
Source: Rfam by way of RNAcentral